GAUGAACGCUGGCGGCGUGCUUAACACAUGCAAGUCGAACGGGGUAUCCGCAAGGGUAUCUAGUGGCGAAUGGGUGAGCAACACGUAGGGAUCUGCCCUCCAGUGGGGAAUAACGCCGCGAAAGCGGUGCUAAUACCGCACGUGACCGCCUUCGGGCGGGGAAGACUGGGCGAACCGGCGCUGGAGGAGGGACCGUGCGGCCCACUCAGCUAGUUGGUAGGGUAACGGCCUACCAAGGCGACGACGGGUAGGGGGCCGUGAGA
This 263-nucleotide ribosomal RNA is filed under the name uncultured bacterium. RNAcentral describes it as "partial 16S ribosomal RNA". It matches the Rfam family "Bacterial small subunit ribosomal RNA", at positions 28 to 297 of the family's 1533-position model. The record is from RNAcentral.